RNAcentral lists this ribosomal RNA (253 nucleotides) under uncultured bacterium. RNAcentral's name for it is "partial 16S ribosomal RNA". It matches the Rfam family "Bacterial small subunit ribosomal RNA", at positions 524 to 776 of the family's 1533-position model. The record is from RNAcentral.
UACGGGGGGAGCAAGCGUUGUUCGGAUUUACUGGGCGUAAAGCGCGCGCAGGCGGCGGUGUUGGCCCGGCGUGAAAGCCCCCGGCUCAACCGGGGAGAGUCGUCGGGGACCGCACCGCUUGAGGGCGGUAGGGGCUGGUGGAAUGCCUGGUGUAGUGGUGAAAUGCGUAGAGAUCAGGCAGAACACCUGGGGCGAAGGCGGCCAGCUGGGCCGUCCCUGACGCUGAGGCGCGAAGGCGUGGGGAGCGAACGGG